Molecule: long non-coding RNA, 201 nt
Organism: Sebastes umbrosus (honeycomb rockfish)
Lineage: Eukaryota; Metazoa; Chordata; Actinopteri; Perciformes; Sebastidae
Exons: 3
Source: RefSeq, a predicted model, not a curated record
CAGGUUGACUUCAUGUGUCUGUGUUGAGCCAUGUUAUGUGAAAACUAGCAGGGUGACACAUACACACGUGGACAGAAUUGUUGGUACCCUUCCGUCAAAGAAAGAAAAACCCACAAUGGUCACUGAAAUAACUUGAAACUGACAAAAGUAAUAAUAAAUAAAAAUUCACUGAAAAUUAACUAAUGAAAAUCAGACAUUGUU